UGACAGGUGGUGCAUGGUUGUCGUCAGCUCGUGUCGUGAGAUGUUGGGUUAAGUCCCGCAACGAGCGCAACCCUCGACCUUAGUUGCCAGCAUUCAGUUGGGCACUCUAAGGUGACUGCCGGCUAAAAGUCGGAGGAAGGUGGGGAUGACGUCAAAUCAUCAUGCCCCUUAUGACCUGGGCUACACACGUGCUACAAUGGGCGGUACAAAGGGUCGCGAACCCGCGAGGGGGAGCCAAUCCCAAAAAGCCGCUCUCGGUUCGGAUUGCAGGCCGCAACUCGCCUGCAUGAAGCCGGAAUCGCUAGUAAUCGCGGAUCAGCAUGCCGCGGUGAAUACGUUCCCGGGCCUU
Molecule: ribosomal RNA, 349 nt
Filed under: uncultured Anoxybacillus sp.
Lineage: Bacteria; Bacillati; Bacillota; Bacilli; Caryophanales; Anoxybacillaceae
Description: bacterial SSU rRNA
Rfam family: Bacterial small subunit ribosomal RNA
Source: RNAcentral